This 253-nucleotide ribosomal RNA is filed under the name uncultured bacterium. RNAcentral describes it as "partial 16S ribosomal RNA". It matches the Rfam family "Bacterial small subunit ribosomal RNA", at positions 524 to 776 of the family's 1533-position model. The record is from RNAcentral.
UACGUAGGUGGCAAGCGUUGUCCGGAAUUACUGGGUGUAAAGGGCGUGUAGGCGGGAUAGCAAGUCAGAUGUGAAAUUCCGGGGCUUAACCCCGGCACUGCAUCUGAAACUGUUAUUCUUGAGUGUCGGAGAGGAAAGUGGAAUUCCCAGUGUAGCGGUGAAAUGCGUAGAGAUUGGAAGGAACACCAGUGGCGAAGGCGGCUUUCUGGACGAUAACUGACGCUGAGGCGCGAAAGCGUGGGGAGCAAACAGG